AAUAGAUACCCGGGUAGUCCACGCCGUAAACGAUGAGUGCUAAGUGUUAGAGGGUUUUCCGCCCUUUAGUGCUGCAGCUAACGCAUUAAGCACUCCGCCUGGGGAGUACGGCCGCAAGGCUGAAACUCAAAGGAAUUGACGGGGGCCCGCACAAGCGGUGGAGCAUGUGGUUUAAUUCGAAGCAACGCGAAGAACCUUACCAGGUCUUGACAUCCUCUGCCAACCCUAGAGAUAGGGCGUUCCCCUUCGGGGGACAGAGUGACAGGUGGUGCAUGGUUGUCGUCAGCUCGUGUCGUGAGAUGUUGGGUUAAGUCCCGCAACGAGCGCAACCCUUGAUCUUAGUUGCCAGCAUUUAGUUGGGCACUCUAAGGUGACUGCCGGUGACAAACCGGNGGAAGUGGGGAUGACGUCAAAUCAUCAUGCCCCUUAUGACCUGGGCUACACACGUGCUACAAUGGAUGGUACAAAGAGCUGCGAACCCGCGAGGGUAAGCGAAUCUCAUAAAGCCAUUCUCAGUUCGGA
RNAcentral lists this ribosomal RNA (522 nucleotides) under uncultured bacterium. RNAcentral describes it as "bacterial SSU rRNA". It matches the Rfam family "Bacterial small subunit ribosomal RNA", at positions 777 to 1297 of the family's 1533-position model. The record is from RNAcentral.